CCGAGCUGGUGUACGGAUCUGAUAAGCAAAAAGAAUACAUCGACACAUUUCUUGAAAAAGAAGGUGUACAAUUAGACCCCGCAAAUAUCGCUGUGAACCCAGCGAAAAGACAGAUCGCUAAACUAUUCUUAAAUUUGUUAUGGGGAAAGUUUGCGCAGAGAUCUAAUUUACCCUGUACCAGCAUCGUGAAUAACCCCAAUGAGCUCUUUUGCUAUGUCUUUCUCCCAUACUAUGAGGUUUCUGAGCUAAAUUUUAUCAAUGAUGAAACCGCAUUGAUCAUUUGGAAAUGCGCAAAAGGACACCACACAAUCAACAAAAACGCAAACAUUUUUAUUGCAUGUUUUAAAACAACCUACUCCCUUCUGGACAGACUGCAGGAUAGGUGUCUUUAUCAUGACACAGAUUCUGUCAUUUUUGUUCAUCGUGAAGGUGACGGGCUCCCCCCUUUAGGCGAUUAUUUGGGCGAAUUAACCAGCGAAAUACCAGAUAACACAUACAUCGCAGAAUUUGUAUCUACGGGUACAAACUGAAUACCAGUAAGACGGUAUUAAAGGUUAAGGGGAUCACACUAAACGUUGCUAAUGCUAGGGAUAUUCAUUUUCACAGCCUAAAGGAUUAAGUUCUGGAUUACAUCCUAAACCGUGAUCUUGAAUGUCAGAAAUGUAUAUCUGUGGAGCAACCAGGUUUUGUUAGAAAUAAGAAGUUGUGGCAGAUUGAAACAAGACGAUUGCGCAAAACGCAGAGGUGAAUUAGUUGCUCUUUUAAAGAAGGUCCUGGAUCCUGUUUUUGAAAGGCAGCCAUCACGUGAUUUUGCAACAAGGUCGUUCGGAUUUUAAUGCCAUGGACACCCGCCUACAACACCCUUUUUCAUGCAUUUUUGCAGGUUUAUUGAAGGCCUUCCGCAUAAAUUUGUAGAUGAUGAGUUAUUCCCACUCGACAAGAUCAUGCGGAGAAAAUGUACUUGGUUCCAAAACACAAGCUCAAGAGGAUAAGUCAGGUCUUUACACCACCGGCCGCUGUAAGGCAGAGUGUGAUACAACUCAUGGAUGAUGAAAUUAACGGUAUUUUACAAAGCUCUGACUUGCUGGAUAAUGUAAAGAUGAAAAGAUACACCGAUUUAAUGCAAAGAUACUUGGUUCUUGCCAAGCAGGAGACUAAAGAGCUAGCGACUUUAAACCUUGAUAACCAAUCUGAUCCUGGUCAUCAACAACUGCCAAAUACAACCGCUGAUAAAUAUAAUUCCGUCCUUGAAAUUGCAACACGUCAAUCCCCGUUUUAAGAAAAAUGCUGAACUUCUGUUGCAGGAUGACUCAAAAUGCCAGUGUUACAACGUGGAAUGAUAAAGGUGAAUUUAUUUAUAAGGGUGAUGUUAUUCAUGGUUCUAACAUGAUGGAUCUUGUGCGCAAUGCGACGCAAAGCCACAGACUGCCAAAAAACAAAAACCCACCAGGCUGGGCUGCAUUUUUGCAUAACAUGGCAAACAUAAAUAUGCCAUCUACUAGAGAGGUUCUUGAAUGAGUCAUCUGUAAGUGUCGCACUUAAUCGCACUCUCCUAACCAACUCCUCCACACCUAUGGGUAUAAAACAUGGUAGUCUGUUACCUAAAAGAAGGACAUCGCCAAUGUUACAAUCUGCUUGGUAAAGCUUGUGAAUACUGAUUAUGUGUAGA
Long non-coding RNA from Bufo gargarizans (Asiatic toad), 1669 nucleotides. RefSeq lists it as uncharacterized. Lineage: Eukaryota; Metazoa; Chordata; Amphibia; Anura; Bufonidae. The record is from RefSeq and is a predicted model, not a curated record. The transcript has 4 exons.